This 1243-nucleotide ribosomal RNA is filed under the name Listeria seeligeri. RNAcentral describes it as "partial 23S ribosomal RNA". It matches the Rfam family "Bacterial large subunit ribosomal RNA", at positions 310 to 1550 of the family's 2925-position model. Lineage: Bacteria; Bacillati; Bacillota; Bacilli; Caryophanales; Listeriaceae. The record is from RNAcentral.
ACGGAGUUACAAAAGAAAGUUAUAAAUGAAGCGGUCUGGAAAGGCCCGCCAAAGACGGUAACAGCCCGGUAGUUGAAAUAGCUUUCCCUCCAGAGUGGAUCCUGAGUACGGCGGAACACGUGAAAUUCCGUCGGAAUCCGGGAGGACCAUCUCCCAAGGCUAAAUACUCCCUAGUGACCGAUAGUGAACCAGUACCGUGAGGGAAAGGUGAAAAGCACCCCGGAAGGGGAGUGAAACAGUUCCUGAAACCGUGUGCCUACAAGUAGUUAGAGCCCGUUAAUGGGUGAUAGCGUGCCUUUUGUAGAAUGAACCGGCGAGUUACGAUUUGUUGCAAGGUUAAGCGGAAAAAGCGGAGCCGUAGCGAAAGCGAGUCUGAAUAGGGCGAAUAAGUAACAGGUCGUAGACCCGAAACCAGGUGAUCUACCCAUGUCCAGGAUGAAGGUAAGGUAAUACUUACUGGAGGUCCGAACCCACGCACGUUGAAAAGUGCGGGGAUGAGGUGUGGGUAGCGGAGAAAUUCCAAUCGAACUUGGAGAUAGCUGGUUCUCUCCGAAAUAGCUUUAGGGCUAGCCUCGAGGUAAAGAGUCAUGGAGGUAGAGCACUGUUUGGACUAGGGGCCCUUCUCGGGUUACCGAAUUCAGAUAAACUCCGAAUGCCAUGUACUUAUACUCGGGAGUCAGACUGCGAGUGAUAAGAUCCGUAGUCGAAAGGGAAACAGCCCAGACCACCAGUUAAGGUCCCCAAAUAUAUGUUAAGUGGAAAAGGAUGUGGGGUUGCUUAGACAACCAGGAUGUUGGCUUAGAAGCAGCCACCAUUGAAAGAGUGCGUAAUAGCUCACUGGUCGAGUGACCCCGCGCCGAAAAUGUACCGGGGCUAAACAUAUUACCGAAACUGUGGAUGAACCUCUUUAGAGGUUCGUGGUAGGAGAGCGUUCUAAGGGCGGUGAAGUCAGACCGGAAGGACUGGUGGAGCGCUUAGAAGUGAGAAUGCCGGUAUGAGUAGCGAAAGAAGGGUGAGAAUCCCUUCCACCGAAUAUCUAAGGUUUCCUGAGGAAGGCUCGUCCGCUCAGGGUUAGUCGGGACCUAAGCCGAGGCCGAUAGGCGUAGGCGAUGGACAACAGGUAGAGAUUCCUGUACCAGUGCUAAUUGUUUAACCGAUGGGGUGACACAGAAGGAUAGGGAAUCGCACGAAUGGAAAUGUGCGUCCAAGCAGUGAGUGUGAGAAGUAGGCAAAUCCGCUUCUC